Small nucleolar RNA from Asterias rubens (European starfish), 90 nucleotides. The record is from RefSeq and is a predicted model, not a curated record. Lineage: Eukaryota; Metazoa; Echinodermata; Asteroidea; Forcipulatida; Asteriidae.
UCUGUCAGUGAUGAUAACAUGACCACGCUUUUUCGAGGCAUUAUAUUGCAAUGAGAUUACAACUCAACAUGCACUACCAUCUGAGACAGA